UUGUAUAUAUUAUGUAUUUAUGAGUAUUAUCAUAUCCGAAAGAAAACAAGUCAGGAAGAGCUCAAUUCAGGUGAACUUGGUGUGAAAUGUCACCCGGAAGUUCGAAAAUCUUUAUGACUAUUAGGGGCUAAGGGAGGUAUUGACCCGAUUUAACCCAUUUUUUAUACGCAAAGAUACUUUUAUCAGAAAACGAUUAUCUCUGAAUUUCAAAUAUACAUACAUACAUAUAUCCCAUACAUUGACCGAUAUUUUCGGCUAAAAGUCAGCUAUAGAUACUAGGGUCCACAUAUGUAUUUACUACCUAGGAGCUUGAACAGUUUUGUUUGAAUUUAGACAAUUUUUGGUCAUAAGGUGGCUUACCUCAAAGGAAUUAUUAGUGAAAAAUUUUAUCCCUUUAUAUUAAUAGCUUGUUGUUGAUCAAUAAAGAGUAUACAAAUAUCUUUAUAAUAGAAUUGAAGAAUUGCUGUUUGAUUUAAUAGGUACACCCUAACCCUUUAGAAAAAAAUUAUAAUUUAUAUAUUUAAGUGUUUCAGUAAUUCUUUAUAAUAUAAAAUUCAUCUUAAUUCACAAAUUCCUUAUAUUUCUGUUUUCCAGAAUUCCAGAAAUGUGACCUUGAUCUCUCAAAUGGAACAAAAUCUAAUGCAGCUCACAAAAUAAUUAAAAAAAGGGUCUUUCAAUAAAACUCGUUAUGUUUACUCGCUUGAGUUGAAGAAAUGUCAGUAUUCAAAGAAUAUAACCUUUUACUGACCGAUCGACUUCAGUUAAAAAUCAAUAAGUGAAAAAAUAGCCAGCAGGAGUUCAACAGCUCCAAGCAUCGAUAAAAAGUUUGUAGUAACCGCUAGUGGCGAGGAAAGGAAAAAAAAAGAUAAUAUAGGCCAGCUAACUGUCCUUUCAACUACGCCGUAAUCGACCCUGGUCGUUCGGGAGGCAGUGUGUCAGCGGAGCAGCAAACUUUGUUCGAGUCGGUGUUCAACGAUGGUCUGAUGGCCCUAAUCUCGUCAUCGACCUCGGACAUAUCUGUCUUCAAGAUAGAUAAUGCACGCUUCGCAAAAGGCAUUUUUUUGACUAGCCAUUGAGAGAAUGUGGACGCCAUCCGUUCCAUGGUGAAGGGUUUUCCUGAAAUGUAGGAGAAAAUGUCGCGGGGUAUAGGUAGCGUGCAUCUCCGCCUCAAAAAUCACCAAAUCGCCGAUAACAAUGAAAAUACGUUCUAGGAUAGCGAGAUGGAAGAGGAUCAGGAAGAGAUCCUAUAAGCCACCUUGAAGUUCCAAGACGCAAGUAAGGGUGAGCCGGUGACUCAACCCGACACCGAAAAUAAACCCGAAUUCAACCGUGAUGGUUCUUCAGACAAACCUGACUAAUAGCAAGGUAGCCUCUGACUUUAAUUCUGGAACCAUGGAUAAUCUCGGGAAAUAUGGUAUCUAGACUAAAGUCGCCAACAUACUAGUCGAACUUUCCGAGUGCAACAAACAAGAUGACCUAACUGUGGUAGCCGUAAAAGAUGGCAAGGAUAAGACACACUCCCUGAAUGCAGUUACAAGACCCAUGGUUAUGAAAUACCACUAUUCCAGUAGAACUCCGAAGGUUGCUUGAUGCGGCUGAUAAGACGAAAGAACUCCGUUGAUAGGCACGGACGCCGAUGAGCAUAAAGUCAAACAUAGAUGCGGAGAUUCUCAUACUCGGUAUCUUAGAAUUUGAAAAAGCACCAUUUGGAAUUCAGUUCGUCUCGUCAAUCUAAUCAUAUUGAUAUACAAA
This is a long non-coding RNA of Bactrocera dorsalis (oriental fruit fly), 1752 nucleotides long. RefSeq lists it as uncharacterized. The transcript has 2 exons. The record is from RefSeq and is a predicted model, not a curated record. NCBI's taxonomy places the organism in Eukaryota, Metazoa, Arthropoda, Insecta, Diptera, Tephritidae.